UGCGCAGUGAACUAGGCUUCUCGUCGGCGCAAAUGUCAGCGACACGGACAAACACUGACAGACUCUCUCAGCGGUUCAGUGUGAGGACAAGAAAUGAGCGAUUUCGACAGCUGUGACGUUCAUUCUCAAUAAAACAACAACAAGCUUAAAGCCGAAGGAACUGACGGAGACAUGGAGCAGGAGUUUGAGGACAUAGACUCAGAGGGCCGCUGGCAGAACCUUUAUUUAGAAAUACGCAACCAAUCACAUGAAUGUGCUUUCAAAGUGGCCAAGUAUCCGGAGAAUCGCAAUCGGAACCGAUACAGAGACGUGAGCCCUUUUGACCACAGUCGAGUGAAAUUAGAAAACACAGAAAAUGACUACAUCAAUGCCAGCCUGGUGUUAAUGGAAGAAGCCCAGAGAAGAUACAUACUUACCCAGGGUCCUCUGAGAAACACCUGUGGUCACUUUUGGCUGAUGAUCUGGGAGCAGAAGACCAAAGCUGUUAUCAUGCUCAACAGAGUAAUAGAGAAAGGCUCGGAAAAGUGUGCACAAUAUUGGCCGACACAAGAAGAGCGAGAGAUGUCGUUCCGUGACACUCGAUUUGUGGUAACACUAGUGUCAGAGGACAUAAAGUCAUAUUACACCACCAGAGUGCUGGAACUCCAGAAUACAAAUACGGGGGAGACGAGACAGAUCUAUCACUUUCACUAUACCACAUGGCCUGACUUUGGCGUCCCAGAAUCCCCAGCCAGCUUCCUGAAUUUCCUGUUCAAGGUUCGAGAGUCGGGAUCACUUGGGAUGGACCAAGGUCCAGCAGUGGUCCACUGCAGCGCAGGAAUCGGCCGAUCGGGAACAUUCUCUCUGGUCGACACUUGUCUCGUUUUGAUGGACAAAAGGAAAGACCCACUGGCGGUGGACAUCAGAAAGAUUCUCCUAGACAUGAGGAAGUAUCGGAUGGGUUUGAUUCAGACCCCCGACCAGCUGCGUUUCUCCUACAUGGCUGUGCUGGAAGGUGCCAAGUACAUUAUGGGAGACUCCUCUGUGCAGAAACAGUGGCGAGAGCUCUCCAGAGAGGACCAAGAGCCCCUGUCCGAGUCUCCCCCGCCGCCACAGCCUCCCAAAUGCACAGAACGCUUCAACGGCAGCAAACUGUCUCGUCUGGAGGACGGGAUGGACCCGAAGACAGGAAAGAAAACAGGCCUGGAGACCCCCAAUAAAGAAUCAGACAGAGAUGCUGGAACAAAUGCUCGCAAAAGACAUCGAGACGAGAAAAUGUCCAACCCCACGCAGAAGACUCAGAAGCAGACAAAACCCAGGAUCACUGACCCUGAUAAGAAAAGAAAAAGUCUGGGCUGUAUUUGCUGUUCGUGACACAGCGAAUGAGGCAGCAAUGGCGCAUCUGCAGGAUUUUUGUAAAGACGAGCUUGUCCGGGCUUCUCAAAAUCCUCAGGCUAGCAAGAGCAACCAGUGACUCCUAACUCCAUGGCAACCUCAGCAAGAGAUCUUCAUCCCAUAAUGCUCUCCCAUCCACCCCUGUGUUUUCAGAAGUCGUUUACAGCAUGAACUCCUCGAGAAGGUUUCUCCACUCCGAACAACAGCACACACCAGCAAUAUAACUGUGGAUGAAGCGCUGUAAUAUCAGCAGGACAGCGCAUCGCCACGGUUCGGAUUGGUUUUAAUUUCAUUGGACCUAUUUUGUCUUAUUUUUUAUUUUGCUUUUUGUUUUGUUGGAAAAAGCAGCAGGAUCUGAAGUACGUCUAUGCAUUUCUAAUGCUGUUCACACAUUGUAUUUUUAGACAACUUUUUUUCAGAGGCAAAAUGAAAUGCUCUAUUUUUAUAUGAAAUUACUUGAAAUGUCCUAUCAUAUCUACAGGGCUUUAAUCCAGUUUGUGAGAUUGUUAAAUGACAUCUUGGAGUGCUCACAAUGUGUACAUAGUGUACCUUAUGAGAUGUAAAAAAAAAAAAAAAUUGUGAUUGUACAAAAAUGAUGAAGACAUUGCAUUUGGUUGAGUCCCACAGAACAAAGCAGCAGUGUCUGAAGAGUCUUACUUUCCUUUAUCUAAGAGUAGGAUCCAUGAAUAAAACCGCUAUCAUUUAGUUUCUGUAA
This is an RNA transcript of Carassius auratus (goldfish), 2089 nucleotides long. It is a transcript of the gene named tyrosine-protein phosphatase non-receptor type 2-like, with no coding region annotated. The record is from RefSeq and is a predicted model, not a curated record. The transcript has 11 exons. NCBI's taxonomy places the organism in Eukaryota, Metazoa, Chordata, Actinopteri, Cypriniformes, Cyprinidae.